This 684-nucleotide ribosomal RNA is filed under the name uncultured Micromonosporaceae bacterium. Its description in RNAcentral is "bacterial SSU rRNA". It matches the Rfam family "Bacterial small subunit ribosomal RNA", at positions 136 to 816 of the family's 1533-position model. Lineage: Bacteria; Bacillati; Actinomycetota; Actinomycetes; Micromonosporales; Micromonosporaceae. The record is from RNAcentral.
CUUUGGGAUAACCCUCGGAAACGGGGGCUAAUACCGGAUAGGACAUGCCAUUGCAUGAUGGUGUGUGGAAAGGAUUUCGGUUCGGUGGGGGAUGGGCUCGCGGCCUAUCAGCUUGUUGGUGGGGUGAUGGCCUACCAAGGCGGUGACGGGUAGCCGGCCUGAGAGGGCGACCGGCCACACUGGGACUGAGACACGGCCCAGACUCCUACGGGAGGCAGCAGUGGGGAAUAUUGCACAAUGGGCGAAAGCUUGAUGCAGCGACGCCGCGUGAGGGAUGACGGCCUUCGGGUUGUAAACCUCUUUCAGCUCUGACGAAGUCGCCUGUUUUUGCGGGUGGUGACGGUAGGGGUAGAAGAAGCGCCGGCCAACUACGUGCCAGCAGCCGCGGUAAGACGUAGGGCGCGAGCGUUGUCCGGAUUUAUUGGGCGUAAAGAGCUCGUAGGCGGCCUGUCGCGUCAACCGUGAAAUUCUGCAGCUCAACUGUGGGCGUGCGGUUGAUACGGGCGGGCUGGAGUUCGGUGGGGGAGACUGGAAUUCCUGGUGUAGCGGUGAAAUGCGCAGAUAUCAGGAGGAACACCGGUGGCGAAGGCGGGUCUCUGGGCCGAUACUGACGCUGAGGAGCGAAAGCGUGGGGAGCGAACAGGAUUAGAUACCCUGGUAGUCCACGCUGUAAACGUUGGGCGC